GACGAACGCUGGCGGCGUGCUUAACACAUGCAAGUCGAACGGAAAGGCCCUGCUUGCAGGGUACUCGAGUGGCGAACGGGUGAGUAACACGUGGGUGAUCUGCCCUGCACUUCGGGAUAAGCCUGGGAAACUGGGUCUAAUGCCGGAUAGGAGCCAUUUUUAGUGUGUUGGUUGGAAAGUUUUUUCGGUGUAGGAUGAGCUCGCGGCCUAUCAGCUUGUUGGUGGGGUAAUGGCCUACCAAGGCGGCGACGGGUAGCCGGCCUGAGAGGGUGGACGGCCACAUUGGGACUGAGAUACGGCCCAGACUCCUACGGGAGGCAGCAGUGGGGAAUAUUGCACAAUGGGCGCAAGCCUGAUGCAGCGACGCCGCGUGGGGGAUGACGGCCUUCGGGUUGUAAACUCCUUUCGCUAGGGACGAAGCUUUUUGUGACGGUACCUAGAUAAGAAGCACCGGCUAACUACGUG
This 465-nucleotide ribosomal RNA is filed under the name uncultured bacterium. Its description in RNAcentral is "partial 16S ribosomal RNA". It matches the Rfam family "Bacterial small subunit ribosomal RNA", at positions 28 to 507 of the family's 1533-position model. The record is from RNAcentral.